Long non-coding RNA from Mirounga angustirostris (Northern elephant seal), 3102 nucleotides. RefSeq lists it as uncharacterized. NCBI's taxonomy places the organism in Eukaryota, Metazoa, Chordata, Mammalia, Carnivora, Phocidae. The record is from RefSeq and is a predicted model, not a curated record. The transcript is spliced from 7 exons.
CUUAAAAAAAAAAAAAAAGAAUGUUUGUUACUGACUUACCUAUUUCAUCCCAGUACUUUAUAGGCAAAAUUAAAAAAAAAAACAGAGACCUAAAACCUAUUUUGGCACUGUCAAUGAAUAAUGUUCUUCACACCAUAAAACCCUCUUUGUCUAAUUCUGAUUCCGUAAAUUAGCUGAUAUCUCCCAUUCACUUCCCGUGAUGGUUAAGUCAACUUGGCUGGACAACUGUGCCGAGAUUAAUAUUGAAAUCAGUGGAGUUUGAGUAAAGCAGAUUGUACUCCAUAAUGUGGAUGGGCCUAAUUCAAUCAGCUGAAGGCCUUAAUAGAACAAAAACUGACCUCCCCCGAAAAAUGAAUGUUGCCAGGAGAUGGCCUUUAAAUUUGAACUGACCCUUCCCUGGGUCUCCAGCCCACUGGCCUACCCUGCAGAUUUUGGACUUAUUAGCCUUCAUAAUCACAUGAACCAAUUCCUUAAAAUGAAUAAAUCUCUCUUUCUCUCUCUCUCUCUCUACACACACACACACACACACACACACACACACACACACACCCUAUUGGCUCCAUUUUUCUGGAGAACCCUGACUAAUACCUAAGAAUCUUUUCCAUUAGCAUAAGCAUUAGCUUUUUUAUGCUGCUAAAGGAUGAUCGAUUAUUUUAAGGGAUGAAUUCAGUAAAUAGGUCCAUUGGCUUUUCUACAAGCAGAGCAAUUUAUUCUAUUCUUGUGGGCAAGAUGGCACGUAUGGGGUAUCUAUCUGGUGGUGAAAAAUGAUGGUGAUAAUGACAGUGAGAGCAGCUAACAUUUACCGAGUGCUUCCUCUUUGGCGGUCAUUGUGCUAAGCAUUUUACAUGUUAUCUGCAAAAUAGGUGCACAGUGAGGACUUUUGAAAAACUGCCCUCAGCUGGGAAGAGCUGCCUCAUCACAGGUCACGUUCCCUUUGGGGAGGGACAACCUCCUUCCAAUACCGGGGCAAUGCAGGAGACCCCAGCUCCCUCCCUAGAUUUUAAGACAAGUCUGAAGGACAAUCCAGCUUCAAAUGGGCCUGUAAGAUUGGCUGAAGCCUUGAAGACUAUACUGCAGCCUAGCUUCUCCCUCUUCCUUCUGCCACCCCACCCCCCCCACAGUAUGAAUCCCAGCAUCAAUCCCUAUUAUGCGUUCCCCCUGCUCACCUCCGUCUCAGAAUCUGCUUCUCAAAGAAUCCAACCUACACAACAAUGCUGUUGUGAGGAUUAAAUGAAAGAAUCCACAGAAAGUCCUUUGCCCAAGGCCUGACAGAGAGCAAGUAUUCAAACGAUGGGAUUGUUAUUAUCCACCUAAACAGAUGGACGUCAGCAGACAGGCACAGUGAGCGCCGUCCUCGCCAUUCCGUCCUGGACCCUCUCGGACCCAGGGAUCAGGGCAGUUUGGUUCCCUCUGCCUGGAACUCUGGGGAACAGGUUUGAACAGCCAGACAGCUUCACCUGUCACUCUGAGGCUUCAUCGUCAGACAUGUUAAACCCUGGAUAUGACCUUCAGGGUUACCCACGAGGAAGCAAUAAGAAAUCAAACCCAGGUGUCCUGACCAGUAGGUCACGUGUGCUCUGAGGCAUCCUUCUACGUCCAUGCACACCCUGCAGACAAAGUGCAGCUGCCUUCCUGUGCUGCAGUCGCAGGCACUUGGUUUCUGGGUCUGGAUGUUGCCCUCCUCCCAGGCAGGAUGUCAGCUCGGUCAGGAAAAAAAGAUACUGUUGAGUGCGUUUCCUCACUUUGAACAACCCUGAGUUAUUAGCACAGCGGUGGCUAUCCCCAUUCUACAGAUGAAGAGGCAAGGCUAGAGGAAGAAGAAGACGACAAGCUGAGUUUCCUGAGGACAUUCCUCGCUCUCCCAUGAGACCCUGAUGACAAUCUGCUGACUCCCAACCCGGGAGGAAUGAAAUUCAGGACGUAGGGGGGCUCCUUCCAAAGUCUGUGCCCUGUGGCUCUCCCCGCGGACUGCUGCUGGGGCCACCUCCCCAGAAGCCACAGACUGCACCAGCUUGGUGACAUCCCUGUAAACGGAGUCUACGCGCGCGCCAGGGCUGAAGCUGUCGAGCUCCUCCGUGUCCUCGGGUCCUGACUUGGUUGCUAACACAGUAAGCCCUGAAUUCAGUGACCGGGAGGCUUGGGGGUGGGGGGGCAGAGAAGACAAGAGCUCAGGGUGCUGGUAAAGUCACAAUUCAGAACCUCAACACAGAAGUGUCCCUGAUUCUGGGUUUCAGGGUGCAGGUGAGGGAGUGACUGGGGAGGGGAAAGUCGGGGAGCAUCUCAGGGAAAUAAACAGUGUCACCCCCUUCUCUGGUUUCAGGACCCGGAGCAAGCUGCCAGCUCAGAAGCCGUCUCAGAGAUCAGGAAAUGGGAGGAAAAAGGAUAUGAAUCAACCAAGUAGCUCAACCAGAUGGUUCUGGCCAGUUCCACCCUACCUCAUGUUCCUCUGCCCUGAAUGGUGGCCUUUACAAAGGAAGAGAAAGAGGGGUUUGCCAGAGCAGAGGGUGGACAGGGGUUCCCUUAGGCCCCGCUGAAUAAAAUCUCCAGAGGCCAAGGCAUUUUGUGGGAAGCUCCAAUCAUCCCUACUUAUUCUAGUUUUCAAGAAAAACCCCAGCCCUAACCUUUUCCCUUGCAAGAUGCCCUCAAAUUCCCCUGUGCAAGUCACAUGGAACACCCCAAGCCCUGCACGGCCUGUCCCCACAGCCACAUGAAGUGUGGGAGCUCACAUCCUUUCAGCCAGUGUUCAUAGUUUUCCUCGGUGAUCUCCACAGAGGUGGUCAUGAAACAGGGCUGAGGCCUUCUGUCAAAACCCCUGUGACUGACUAGCAGGGAAUCGUGGGGAGGGCUGAGAGAGACAGUAAAGGCAGAAAGACCCAGGAAGCGGUUUAUGGGACGGGAGACAGUAAAAUGGAUGAACAUUCAGAGGCCUGUCCUCCUUCCCCAAAACCAACAGCAAAAUUCAGCAGACCCAGGAGCACCCUCAGUUCAGGUCAUUGAGAAGAACUGAGCUUUGUACUCCUCGACAUCCCCUGAGGUGCCUAACACAGGGCUUUACACAGAGUGGACACUCAAUAAAUGUGCUAAUAAUUGACUUUUUUUUUU